RNAcentral lists this unclassified non-coding RNA (341 nucleotides) under soil metagenome. Its description in RNAcentral is "partial contains 5.8S ribosomal RNA, internal transcribed spacer 2, and large subunit ribosomal RNA". The stretch from base 1 to 119 matches the Rfam family "5.8S ribosomal RNA", at positions 35 to 154 of the family's 154-position model. The record is from RNAcentral.
GAUGAAGACGUAGCGAAAUGCGAUAAGUAAUGUGAAUUGCAGAAUUCAGUGAAUCAUCGAAUCUUUGAACGCACAUUGCGCCCGCCAGCACUCUGGCGGGCAUGCCUGUUCGAGCGUCAUUUCAACCAUCAAGCCCCCAGGGGCUUGUGCUGGGGCCCUGCGGCUGCCCGCAGGCCCUGAAAACCAGUGGCGGGCUCGCUAGUCACACCGAGCGCAGUAGCACAUCUCGCUCAGGGCGUGCGGCGGGCUCCUGCCGUGAAACCCCCCACUGUAACCCCAAAGGUUGACCUCGGAUCAGGUAGGAAUACCCGCUGAACUUAAGCAUAUCAAUAAGCGGAGGA